Molecule: long non-coding RNA, 1785 nt
Organism: Malus domestica (apple)
Lineage: Eukaryota; Viridiplantae; Streptophyta; Magnoliopsida; Rosales; Rosaceae
Source: RefSeq, a predicted model, not a curated record
UUCAUUCUAUUUUGUUGAUUUUGUCAUCACAAUUUCUUAGAAAGUUGGGAUAUUGGUUAAUUUCUAGACUUGGAUUAUAACUUUUUAUUUGUAUUUCUGGAAAAUUGCAGAAAGCUUGCAUUAAGAUUUAGCUCUUCGAUCCAAAGGACCUUAGGAUUGAAGGCUGAAUUAUUGUAAGUUUGUCUUCCAUCACAGGUUUACCCAUAUUCUUCUGUCCAAUCAUUUCUUGACACUAUAUUAGUAAUCCCAAUUAUUAUAGGGAUUAACAGAUUAAGAUCUAUUUAGAUUCUAUAUAUACAUUUUAUAGAGUGAAUUAAGUUAGGUAUUCUGGAACUUAGGUAUUGUAUAUAUAUCAAACACAAGCUUUCAUAUGUUUCCAAUAUAAUCUUCCAUACAAUUUUUAAUCCCGCAGCAAUGCGCAGGCAUCGAUUUCUAAUUUUUCCUAAUUUCACAACGGUGAUGUUUUUCUAACUUGUCUUCUAUCAAGUCCUAUAAAAUUUAUAUUUUAAGAAAAUUGAUAACCACGCACUUUGUUUUUGCUUCCCUACACAACUUUGUUGUUUAAUCAUGUCUCUUGUCUUUGUUUCAUUUGUCAAAUCCAAUAGCUAAAAUACAGAAGAGUGUCGGAGAAACGGAAAAAUAGUGCGUGGCUGUCAUUUCUGAAAAUUAGAGAGAAACAUGUAACAGAUUCAGAGAGCAAUUCAUAUUUGACAAUAUAGAAGAAGGCUUCAAUAAUAAUUACAACAAACACUAGGGAGACCAUAACAAAAUUCCACACUGAAAGUUAAGCAUAAAAGGCCUGCUUGCCUAGCACAAGAGAGCUCAAACUAUUAACAAAAAUGGCAGAAGUGAAGCUCUUCAGGAUAUGGUCAAGCCCUUUUUUCUUUGAGAAUAGUUUGGGCGCUGCAACUCAAAGGCGUCCCUUAUGAAACAAUCCACGAAGAUAUUUCGAACAAAAGCCCUAAGCCCUUACUUCUUCAGUCUAACCCUAUUCGUAAAAAAGUUCCAGUGCUCCUGCACAAUGGAAACGCAGUUGUUGAAUCACUCAUAAUUCUUGAAUAUGUCGACGAAACUUGGAAGGAGAAUUCCUUACUGCCAGAAUAUCCUCUUGAGUGAGCCACUGCACGCUUUUGGGCUGGAUAUGGCGAUGAGAAGGUUUUGCCAUCUAUUGGGAAAACCUUUAUGAAGGGAAAGAGCAAGAGGAAGCUAUUGUAAAAGCCAAGGAGAACUUGAAGUACUUGGAAGAAGAGCUAAAGGGAAAGAAAUUCUUUGGCGGAGAGAAACUUGGAUUUGCGGAUAUUGCACUUGGAUGGCUCGCACACUAAGUGAGUGUGUUUGAAGACGUAGCAGAAAUGAAAAUGGUGACCGAAGAAGAGUUUCCAUUGUUAUCAGCAUGGGCGACAACUUUUGCAGAUGUUCCUAUAAUCAAAGAUAAUUGCCCGUCUAGAGACAAACUUAUUGCCAUGUUUCAGGCUAGCCGCGAAAGUCAUCUUUCAAAAAUGUACCAAGUUGAUUAAAUGAUCUGGUUUGUGAUCAUUUCAUGAAUUGGUUAAAUAAGUCCUGUCAAAGUUAAGAAUUACACAGAGAUGAUCAUGGAUUUUGGAAAAAUAAGUAAUGUCUGGUUAAAAUAUAACUGAAAGUGUUUGUUUUUGUUUUUACGUAGCUACACUUCAAAGUUGAAGCAAGUUCAUUCUUUCUUAGUUUGUGCUCAGUUAUGGCCAGAUUUCUGUUUCUUCCUUCAAUGCACGUUAACGAAAAAUGCAGAGACAUUAUUGUUUGUUGAGA